RNAcentral lists this transfer RNA (75 nucleotides) under Canis lupus familiaris (dog). It matches the Rfam family "tRNA". Rfam says of the family: Transfer RNA (tRNA) molecules are approximately 80 nucleotides in length. The record is from Rfam by way of RNAcentral. Lineage: Eukaryota; Metazoa; Chordata; Mammalia; Carnivora; Canidae. RNAcentral also lists the same sequence under 1 other name.
GCCUGGCUGGCUGAGCCCGUUGGUGGCAUGUGACUCUUGAUCUUGGGGUCAUGGGUUCAAGCCCCAUGCUGGGUG